GUCCUGGGUAAGCCUUGUGGUAUAUGCCGGAGUCAUACCAGCGUUCAGCUGACACCCAUGAGCACCAUAGGGAGAACCGCACUGUUGGAAAAAAAGACAACACAGAUGCCAGUCACACAAAGGGAAUAUCUGCUCACACACCUUCAAACAGGAGGGUCACAAAGCCGCCAGGAGGAUGAUGGGAAGGGAAUCAAACCAAUACCUCCGCGACACAAACGGCCUUCAGAACCAACUGGCAAAACGCCCGAACAGCACUUUGUACUCCAAAGAGAAGUUAGCCGGUGCACACCAGUGGACUUACUCAGCCUUGGAGCUUGUCAGCUCUUCCGGACGCAUGUUUCUGCUCCACCAAGGAAGAGAAGAGAGUACGCUGGCAGCCGCUGCAGGGCAGGGGAGAAGCGUGGAGGCUCCCCGAAACAAGUGGUUUCAGCAGCUGCUAGAAACUUCCCCCUAAGACCUCCUCCCGGGGCCGGUGAGCCAGGAGCGGGGGUUCCUCGCAGCCAUCCCUGCGCGUUGUCCUGGCCUCGAGUGAAUUCAGGAAAACCCUGGAGUCAGCUCAGCAGCCCCACCUGAGGCACCAAAAACUGUAAUUGAAAGUGUCUGGGUCCAGCUGCCCACCCAUCAAAAACCGAUAAAGAGGCAAGGUUGGUGGAAAGGAAAGCUUGCUUUACUUCCGAGGCCAGAAACAGAGGGGAGGGGGCCAUGCCUGCAAAGGCCGACUCCCGCUGCUGAUGCUCACUGGGCAAGAGCUCUUAUAGAUGGAAAGAGGGGGCUAAUGCAGGAAUGGCACCGUCAGCUCUGCCAAUCAUCUUGAAAUUGGUCCUGCGGUGAUCUGGUCAAGUGUACUUGUCUUCAGUUCCAGUUCCAGGAUCGACGUGCUCCCAUUUCUUUGACGCCAGCUCUCAGAGUUGUGGCGGCUUAUGUCGUGGUUAGUCUGGUCAUCAUGUAGUUAACCUCUUUCACCUGGAGGGGGUUUCAGUGCCCACAGAAAGGCUCAAAGGAGAUGGCUCAGAAUAUCAUCUAUAGCCCUUGAGGAUGAAUGAAAUUAAACAUAUUCUUUGGCUUAAGUUUUCCAUGGACAAAAGGCAGACAGAGCACGUGGUGGGGUGGGGGUGCACAGUGUCUUGCUCUGUUUCAAUAUCAAUUAGAAUAUUACCUGCUGUACUCAAAUACAGCGACAAAGUGGAAUACAAAUACACACACACACACACACACACACACACACACACACACAGAUCCCCACAGCUGACCAUCAUUAAGAAUUUUCCUACAGCUUGAAGCAUCAGAUAUUUGUAAAGGAUUAGGGCAGCUUGGUUCUUCCUCAUUGUAACAGAGAAGACAAGCCCCGACCGAGUUCCUUGCUGGCAGAGCUAGGACCUCAUCAUAAGCCCUAAUGAGAGAUUUCAGUCCAUUUGUUCUAAAUAAGAAUCCAGUUUCUCCAGGCGGGGCUCCACCAGCUUGUAUCAGGCCCUGGGCCUGCAUUCCAUGAGCAAUUUCACACUAAAUAUUUACCAAGCACUUCUGAAAAAUUUCAGUGAGUCUGAACCUUAAUAACUCAGGAAGUACAGUUGUGUAAAUAAGAGGUUUUACCACAUGCACGGAGAUGAAACGGCACUGGGGGUGUUGUGUGUGUGUGUGUGUGUGUGUGUGUACUGGCGAAGGACACUCAUGACAUGGGGCUCGCUCACCACAUGAAACACUUU
This is a long non-coding RNA of Bos taurus (domestic cattle), 1703 nucleotides long. NCBI's taxonomy places the organism in Eukaryota, Metazoa, Chordata, Mammalia, Artiodactyla, Bovidae. The record is from Ensembl.